ACUAGCCCUGCCCCCUACGGUGACGUCACCACACCCGCCCCUCCCACGCUUGACCAAGGUUAGUUCUCUUUGUCUCUGGAGAGAGAAGGGGAGGUUUGAGUUCCCUAUUCCUUGGAGUCUGGACAGGGGACUGAGCAUCUGGAGAUCUGCCUGCCCCUAACCCCCAUCCCCUCCACCCCCUCCCAUCCCGGAAGUUCCUGUACUUUCCUGUGUGGGUGUGUAUGAGGGGCCCAGUCAAGGGCUUUCUACUCUGAGGCCUCAGACACUUGCAGCUGCUCACUGUACUGGAGUCGCCUAGCCUAGUUGGAACUGUUGGGUAGCAGAUAUCCCAGCUGGCAGAUUGCCUUCUGCAUUGAAGCUGGGGUCUUUACAACUGGGAUGCUAUGCCACUAGCUUGCUGAGCUAGGGCUGAGGGUCCUCACCUGCUGAUCUCUGCUGUAUCUAAGAACCUUUUGCUGGCUUGCCCACACACCCUCUGUGCUGAGCUGUGCUUCCCUUUUACCCAGGUUUUGCAGCUCCAGAAUCCAUCGAGAGGCUUGAUUUAAUGUUGUUUCUGAGGGAAAUUUGGGAGAGCUCAGGCAGCUUCUUUGUCGUUCAUUAGUACUGGAUACACUGGCCCUGAUUCAAAGUGGAGUAAGGUUGUCAUCUAAGGGAUGACUUGCAAACUCUCCUGAAGGGACAGGGCUCAUACCUUGGCAACCCCAGUCACUGGCUCAACAAACUUCUUGAAGAAGUCAGCUAAUACAAGACAAGAGCGCCCAGAGACUCUCUGCCUCAGUCUUUCCAGGAACUCCAUUUUGGCAAGGUGCUCUGCCCAGCCAAUCUUCAUUCCUGUCUCGGUUGUGUUUCUGGUUUUCAGACCUCUACACCAUGCCUCAGCUUCAGUCACGUCCUAGAAGUUUGAGCUGCAUCUGGGGUUUCCUCCUACUGGAACAUUCAUGCAACCCUAUUGGCUGUUCACUCUGGGAUAUGCCAACCACUUGCUGGCCCCUUUAUCCACUUGUUGAGUUAAUUCAGGGGCCCCCAUUUUAUGUGAGAGGCAGAGGCUGGCCAACCUUCACUUCCUUCUAGGAUGUACUUCUGAAUGUAUAGAUAGAAUCAUCAUGCCUCAGCUGGAGUCUCACCUCUUCCACCUAACAUUUGUUAUUGUUGUUGAAAUUUUUCAGUAGUGUCCAACUGUGCGUGACCCCAUUUGAAGUUUUCUUGACAAAGACAGUGUAGUUGUGUGCCAUUUCCUUCUCCAGCUCAUUUUCUACAUUAAGAAACUGAGGCAAACAAAGUUAAGUGACAUGCCCAGGGUGAAACAGCUAGUAAGUGUCUGAGGCCAGAUUUGAAAUCAGGAAGAUGGCUCUUCCUGACUUCAAGCUUGGCACCUGAUCCAUUGCAACCCCCAGCAGCCCCUCCAUCUGAAAUUACCUUCUAUUUAAACUAUAUAUCAUCUGUCUGUACAUAAUUAUUGUAUAUUGGCUCUUCCAUUAAAAUAUGAGCCCCUUGAAGAGUUUAUGACCAAAAAAGAGAUAGAGAGGACCACAGGAAAUAAAAUUGCAAUUUUGAUUACAUGAAAUAAAAAUGUUUUUAUGCAAACAAAUCUAACAGCCAAAAUUAGAAGGAAAACAGGAAACGGAGGUAAAUUUCUAAAAACCUGAGGUUUUCUGACAAUUGAUAAAUGACCAAAGGAUAUGAACAGUUUUCAGACACCGUAAUCAAAACUAUUAUAGUCAUAUGAAAAUAUGCUCUAAAUUACUAACAAUUAGAGAAGUGCAACUUGGAGAUGCCAUCUUAUACCUAUCAGAUUGACUAAUACGAUUGAAAAGAAAAAAAUAGUAAGUGUUGUGAGUGGAUGUGGGAAAACAGCACUGUUGGAGUUAACUGUGAACUGAUUCAACCAUUCUGGAGAGAAGUUUUGAAUGAUGUCCAAAGGGCUAGAAAAGCACACAUGCCCUUUGACCCCAAAAUACCAUUACUAGCUCUGUCUCCUAAAGAGAUAAAAAACAAAAAGAAAAGGGACACCUAUAUACAUAGUUACAGAGCUCUUAUAGUAGUGGAAAAGAAUUAAAAAUUGAGGGGAUGUUCAUCCACUGAGGAAUAGCUGAACAAGUUGUGGUAUAUGAUUGUAAUGGAAUGCUAUUGUACCAUAAAAAGUGAUGAGAAGGAUACUUUCAGAAAAACCU
Dromiciops gliroides (monito del monte) is the source of this 2171-nucleotide long non-coding RNA. RefSeq lists it as uncharacterized. Lineage: Eukaryota; Metazoa; Chordata; Mammalia; Microbiotheria; Microbiotheriidae. The record is from RefSeq and is a predicted model, not a curated record. The transcript is spliced from 5 exons.